CAUUGCAGGACUGUGCAGCUCUUUGAGAAGUUUCUAACAUCCUUGGCAGAAGGGUGAACUUCCAGCCCUUCAUUUCUAGGAGUGCUCUCCGCCCUUAAGUGGUAGAUAGGUGGAUUUGAAAGGAGUACUGUCAUUUCCCCCGCCACUUCGACCGUAAACUGUCUUUCCCUUAGAAAGGAAGUAGCGGAGAUAGGGGAGUGGAAGGACAGAAGGUUGCUAGCUACUGUCCUUCCUUGGACUCAGUUGACUCCCCUGAGAGGAAGGUGGCUGAGCGCUUGGCUGGAGUUAUUUGUAAAUAAUAGUGACCGCACAGCACCCUGUUUAUAUGGGCAAGAAAAUUACUGAGGAGGUGGGGAUAAGAGAGAAUAGAAAACUACUACUUCUGCUCCCCUACUCCCUUUCCCUUCUCCCACCCUGCUACCCCUCACCCUCCACACAAAUAUAUAUGCAUGUAUAUAUAUAUAUAUAUAUAUAUAGGUAUGUAUGUCUAUAUACAUAUAUAUGAACUUUCAACUUCCCUGGGAGCUCUUAAACACUUCACUGGUGUAGUUCUCACACGACGUGUGAAGGUGUGGAUUAACAAAGUUCAAUUUCCCAGACAGAAUGCGGAGGGUGAGAAUUUGGCACUGGGGACCCUCUGAAAUAGCUGCUCUCCAAAUACUUGAAGGAGAAAAAUGGACGACCUAAAAAUUAGUCCUUACUUCCUGAUUGAGUAUAAACCCAUCAGCAUCUUUAAUGGCCUUUGCUGCAGAUGGAUUGAGCCAGCCCUUAGUUCAAUCGCGGGGAGACUGGAGCCUGAGGAGCAGCAGCAGCCCCAGCGGCAGCCGCAGUAGCAGUCUUGGUAUUGAGCAAGUGUCUCAGUGCCCCCACCCCCUGAAGCCAAUACACCUCCUUAGAAAGGGCCACUGGGGGAAGCAAAUCCACCAGCCAGAGGCGGCGAAGCAGCAUGGACAGGAAAACCAGGAACGACACAAACUAAAAAGGGGAUCAGACUCAACCGUUUGUUUCAAAAAACCAAAACACCUAAGGGACAGUAAAAUGAGCUUUCCUUCUUUCUGACCUGGGAAGAGCAUGAUGCUUCUCCAUUUCACAUCACCUUCUUACCUUCCCCCUUUCCCCCCCCCAAGAAAAAAUAACUCAAGUAGAAAAGGAAUAAAGAAAUAAAAUCACAGCUACGGAUAUACCCA
RNAcentral lists this long non-coding RNA (1187 nucleotides) under Phascolarctos cinereus (koala). Its description in RNAcentral is "lncRNA (ENSPCIG00000034249.1)". The record is from RNAcentral. Lineage: Eukaryota; Metazoa; Chordata; Mammalia; Diprotodontia; Phascolarctidae.